UUCCCAAGCAGGCAUAACAAGGCGUUUAAGCCGUGGACACCUCUUGGCUGUAUAAGUCAGUUGAUUGUUGUCAACAUACAAAUUAUAAUGGAAGAUCAAGGUCAAUAGGUUUCCACGACUAAGGUUCAAGCAGAUCUUUAGGAUACGGGUCAAUUUUUCACGAGAUGGAGUGUCGACAAAUACAUAUGGCGGUGCUUGAGUUUUGAUGAAAUUUGACUGCAUUACUGACAAGUCCAGUGUUUUCCAGAGACGUUGAUCAGAACAAGCCAAUUGCCAUGCAGGACAAACUUGAGGAAUUACAGAGAUCAACUGGAAAAGGUCAAAGGACUGGAAUAUAUUCACCAGCAUAUCAAUAUUAAGGUCCUCCCAUCUCCUUACCGGAGAAUUUCGUUCUUCCAUCACAACAGCUUCAAUCUUUUCUUGUUUUUGAAAUGACAUCAUAAACACUUCAAUCUCCUAAGUUCCUUAAGAUUGUUUAUUCACUUCAGUGUGCGCAAAAAGUAUUGGGUGAAAAUUGUGGGAUGUUACUUGUGCUUUGAUGAGGAGUAAGAGUUGUAUACAGAAUCUUGGUCAAAUGGAAUGGAAAUGUCAUCCACCUGCUCUGAG
Molecule: unclassified non-coding RNA, 606 nt
Filed under: Hevea brasiliensis (rubber tree)
Lineage: Eukaryota; Viridiplantae; Streptophyta; Magnoliopsida; Malpighiales; Euphorbiaceae
Source: RNAcentral